CAGCAAGAAUUCUAGCCCAAAACCAUCACGAACCAUUCUCCCAUCCCAUCAAACAAAUCAUUUGCCCCGCCCAGUAUAUGAGAUAGAAAGGCCACACACUGAAGCAUUAAAACCCGCACCGUAAGGAAAUGAUGAAAGAACAUGAAAGCACUAAAAGCACUAAAAAGCAGUGACAACCCCACGUACCUCUUGCAUCAUGGUUUAGCAAGAAUUUUCAGAUAAAGAGAACUAAAACCUGACACCCCGAACCCAGACGAGCUACCCUGGAGCAAUUUUUAAGAAUCAACUCAUCUCUGUGGCAAAAGAGAGAGAAGACUCCACGGUAGAGGCGAAAAACCAACCGUGCCUGGUGAUAGCUGGUUGCUCCACAAACGAAUUUAAGUUCGACCCUAGGGCCUCUAAAUCACCCAUCUAGACACAUCUUUACCCUAGUAUCUAUUCAAUAAGGGAACAGCCUUAUUGAAACAGGACACAACCUUAGUCAGAGAACAAGCCUCGCCCUCAUCACCAGUAGGCCUCUAAUCAGCCACCACAAACAACCGCGUCAAAGCGUUACAGCAGACUAAUUCAAACCAAUACCAGCCCUCCCUGACCUUGAACCCGGAGCCACUCUAUUAACCAAUAGAGGCACUAAUGCUAAAACUAGUAAUAAGAAACCCUCUCUCCACGCACCCCUCUCAAUCAGAAAUAGAUAAACUACUGAAAUUUACCAAGCUGUCGUAAGAACACUAAACCUUUUCUUUUUCUUAAGCUCUGUAACCCCGACACAGGUGUGCUAAAAAGAAAGAUUAAAAGCCUAACAAGGAAUUCAGCUAAUAGGACCCAACUGUUUACCAAAAACAUAGCCUUUAGCCUCACAAGUAUUAAAGGUCCUGCCUGCCCAGUGAACUAUUUUUAACGGCCGCGGUAUCCUAACCGUGCAAAGGUAGCGUAAUCAUUUGUCCCCUAAAUAGGGACUUGUAUGAACGGCUAACUGAGGUCCUAACUGUCUCAUUAGGCCCAUCAAUGAAACUGAUCUUUCAGUACAAAAGCUGAAAUAAAGACAUAAGACGAGAAGACCCUGUGGAGCUUUAAACCAAUACUAUAAACUACACUUUCCCCCACACGGCGCACAAAAAACUAAUAGUAAAAAUUUUAGUUGGGGCGACUUUGGAAACAAAAAAAACUUCCAUGCUUGGGGCCCCCCCCCACUAAGGCAGACAUGCCAAGAAACUCUAUUGACCCAGCCUAGCUGAGCAACGAACCAAGUUACCCCAGGGAUAACAGCGCCAUCCUCUUCAAGAGUCCCCAUCGACAAGAGGGUUUACGACCUCGAUGUUGGAUCAGGACACCCCGGUGGUGCAACCGCUACCAAAGGUUCGUUUGUUCAACGAUUAACAGUCCUACGUGAUCUGAGUUCAGACCGGAGCAAUCCAGGUCGGUUUCUAUCUAUGCCCAUCUUCUUCAGUACGAAAGGACCAAGAAGACAAUACCUAUAGAACCCCCACGUAUUGAUCAACAAAUUGACUUUCCCACUUAAACUCUACCACCUCCCCCAAAGCCCAAGACCAGGGCAUU
Molecule: ribosomal RNA, 1557 nt
Filed under: Diplodactylus vittatus
Lineage: Eukaryota; Metazoa; Chordata; Lepidosauria; Squamata; Diplodactylidae
Description: 16S rRNA
Rfam family: Bacterial large subunit ribosomal RNA
Source: RNAcentral